Molecule: unclassified non-coding RNA, 358 nt
Filed under: Hevea brasiliensis (rubber tree)
Lineage: Eukaryota; Viridiplantae; Streptophyta; Magnoliopsida; Malpighiales; Euphorbiaceae
Source: RNAcentral
GGAGAAUAUCUGGAACAUUUUAUAACAUUCUUAUAUACCAUACAUUCAACUUUGCUCCAAUGGAAAACUAAACUACAGCUACACUUAGAAAACCCAUUACGAUACAAGAAGCAAUCUCGGCAAACAGAGAUAUCUAACCUUAAGAUUCCUCCGCUUCCGAAGUUGCAGACUUCAUCUCGGCGUCGCUGUCCUCCUUCAGCGCCACCACAGCACUGCCGCUAGUAACGCCGUCCUUCUCAUCCGGAAACCGAACCACAACCACAGGACACACACACGCCUAUGGAUUUUCUGUCUGUGUCAACUGACAGGAUUAGACAGCGGCUUCUUUCAGAGGGUGUCAGUGAAACAGCCAUUCAAG